AGUUAACUAUCGAAUACCUGUCCAAAAUUGCAGCUUGACAAUGUGGAGCAGAGGUGCAUAGUGAAUGUGUGCCAACCAGGAAACAACCUUCUAGCAGCAGGCUACUGCAUGUAUUCGAGCUCUGUGAUUUUCGUGCUCACGUUGGGAGAAGGAGUCUUUUCUUUCACAUUGGAUCCAGUGUUCGGAGAAUUUAUUCUGACUCAAGAAAACAUUCAAAUACCAAAGACCGGAAAGAUCUAUGCGUUAGUGAAUGUGUGCCAACCAGGGAACAACCUUUUAGCAGCAGGCUACUGCAUGUACUCGAGCUCUGUGAUUUUCGUGCUCACGUUGGGAAAAGGAGUCUUUUCUUUCACAUUGGAUCCAAUGUUCGGAGAAUUUAUUCUGACUUACGAAAACAUUCAAAUACCAAAG
Molecule: long non-coding RNA, 411 nt
Filed under: Nicotiana benthamiana
Lineage: Eukaryota; Viridiplantae; Streptophyta; Magnoliopsida; Solanales; Solanaceae
Description: long non-coding RNA (NBEN_LNC012660)
Source: RNAcentral